AACGUAGGUGGCAAGCGUUAUCCGGAUUCACUGGGCGUAAAGCGCACGCAGGCGGCCCGGUAGGUAGGGCAUGAAAUCUCCUGGCUUAACUGGGAGAGGUUGUCCUAUACCGCCGGGCUUGAGGAUGGGAGAGGGAAGUGGAACUGCCGGUGUAGUGGUGAAAUGCGUAGAGAUCGGCAAGAACACCAGUGGCGAAGGCGGCUUCCUGGCCCAUUCCUGACGCUCAUGUGCGAAAGCUAGGGGAG
RNAcentral lists this ribosomal RNA (245 nucleotides) under uncultured bacterium. RNAcentral describes it as "partial 16S ribosomal RNA". It matches the Rfam family "Bacterial small subunit ribosomal RNA", at positions 524 to 768 of the family's 1533-position model. The record is from RNAcentral.